This 253-nucleotide ribosomal RNA is filed under the name uncultured bacterium. Its description in RNAcentral is "partial 16S ribosomal RNA". It matches the Rfam family "Bacterial small subunit ribosomal RNA", at positions 524 to 776 of the family's 1533-position model. The record is from RNAcentral.
UACGUAGGUGACCAGCGUUGUCCGGAUUUACUGGGCGUAAAGAGCGCGCAGGCGGUCGUUCAAGUCGAGUGUGAAAGCCCCCGGCUCAACUGGGGAGGGUCAUUCGAUACUGAUCGACUGGAAGGCAGGAGAGGGAAGCGGAAUUCCCGGUGUAGUGGUGAAAUGCGUAGAUAUCGGGAGGAACACCUAUGGCGAAGGCAGCUCGCUGGGACGUUACUGACGCUGAGACGCGAAAGCGUGGGGAGCAAACAGG